GACGAACGCUGGCGGCGUGCUUAACACAUGCAAGUCGAACGGAAAGGCCCUGCUUUUGUGGGGUGCUCGAGUGGCGAACGGGUGAGUAACACGUGAGUAACCUGCCCUUGACUUUGGGAUAACUUCAGGAAACUGGGGCUAAUACCGGAUAGGAGCUCCUGCUGCAUGGUGGGGGUUGGAAAGUUUCGGCGGUUGGGGAUGGACUCGCGGCUUAUCAGCUUGUUGGUGGGGUAGUGGCUUACCAAGGCUUUGACGGGUAGCCGGCCUGAGAGGGUGACCGGCCACAUUGGGACUGAGAUACGGCCCAGACUCCUAAGGGAGGCAGCAGUGGGGAAUAUUGCACAAUGGGCGGAAGCCUGAUGCCGCAACGCCGCGUGCGGGAUGACGGCCUUCGGGUUGUAAACCGCUUUCGCCUGUGACGAAGCGUGAGUGACGGUAAUGGGUAAAGAAGCACCGGCUAACUACGUG
Molecule: ribosomal RNA, 468 nt
Filed under: uncultured bacterium
Lineage: Bacteria
Description: partial 16S ribosomal RNA
Rfam family: Bacterial small subunit ribosomal RNA
Source: RNAcentral